This 447-nucleotide ribosomal RNA is filed under the name uncultured bacterium. Its description in RNAcentral is "bacterial SSU rRNA". It matches the Rfam family "Bacterial small subunit ribosomal RNA", at positions 355 to 825 of the family's 1533-position model. The record is from RNAcentral.
UAGGGAAUAUUGGACAAUGGGUGAGAGCCUGACCCAGCAACGCCGCGUGAAGGAUGAAGUAUUUCGGUAUGUAAACUUCGAAAGAAUAGGAAGAAUAAAUGACGGUACUAUUUAUAAGGUCCGGCUAACUACGUGCCAGCAGCCGCGGUAAUACGUAGGGACCAAGCGUUGUUCGGAUUUACUGGGCGUAAAGGGCGCGUAGGCGGCAAUUCAAGUCAUCUGUGAAAUCUCCGGGCUUAACUCGGAACGGUCAGAUGAUACUGCUUUGCUAGAGUGCAGAAGGGGCAAUCGGAAUUCUUGGUGUAGCGGUGAAAUGCGUAGAUAUCAAGAGGAACACCUGAGGUGAGGGCGGGUUGCUGGGCUGAUACUGACGCUGAGGCGCGAAAGCUAGGGUAGCAAACGGGAUUAGAUACCCACGUAGUCCCUGAGCGGGCUGGCAAGGCGCAU